This 433-nucleotide ribosomal RNA is filed under the name uncultured bacterium. RNAcentral describes it as "partial 16S ribosomal RNA". It matches the Rfam family "Bacterial small subunit ribosomal RNA", at positions 29 to 507 of the family's 1533-position model. The record is from RNAcentral.
AACGAACGCUGGCGGCAUGCCUAACACAUGCAAGUCGAACGAGACCUCCGGGUCUAGUGGCGCACGGGUGCGUAACGCGUGGGAACCUGCCCUUAGGUUCGGAAUAACUCCCCGAAAGGGGUGCUAAUACCGGAUAAAGUCUUCGGACCAAAGAUUUAUCGCCUUUGGAUGGGCGCGCGUUGGUUUAGCUAGUUGGUAGGGUAAACGCCUACCAAGGCGACGAUCCAUAGCUGGUCUGUGAGGAUGAUCAGCCACACUGGGAGUGAGACACGGCCCAGAAUCCUACGGGAGGCAGCAGUGGGGGAUAUUGGACACUGGGCGAAAGCCUGAUCCAGCAAGGCCGCGUGAGUGAUGAAGGCCGUAGGGUUGUAAAGCUCUUUUACACGGGAUGAUAAUGACAGUACCGGGAGAAUAAGCUCCGGCUAACUACGUG